RNAcentral lists this long non-coding RNA (740 nucleotides) under Rattus norvegicus (Norway rat). RNAcentral's name for it is "long non-coding RNA NONRATT017163". Lineage: Eukaryota; Metazoa; Chordata; Mammalia; Rodentia; Muridae. The record is from RNAcentral.
GAAGAUUCGCCCAGAAGCAUGCGUGGAAGGAGAGAGACGCCUGGUACCCGAGCCCAGGAGCAUGGGGCUGGGAGGAAGAACCGGACACAAUUUCUACAUUUAUUAUCUGAAGAUGAUCUGUCUGAGAACGUGUCUCCCCCACCCUUAAUAGAGAAGGUCAAUUCUUUACGAUCAAAGGCGGAUCCCAGCAUGCUUUAAGAAAUAAAAAUUCAAGUAAAAUGGAGCAACAGGUUUACAUUAAAAGAAUAAACAGGGUCUGGAGAGAUCAGAGCACUGGCCGUUCUUCCCGAGGACUUGGGUACAGUUCCCAGCACCCACAUCAGACAGCUUACAACUUCCUGUCAGUCGAGCUCCAGGGGAUCUGACCGCUCGUUUGGGCCUCUGAGGUGACUGGCUUUGGAAUGAUGACCACAUCAUCAAUUCUAGACAGGAAGAUUCUUCAUGACAGGACUUCUAGAAGCUUCCAGGCCAUGCCACCUCGGCCUUAAAACUCCUCACCGUCCCAGGAGCUGAGUGGAAGGAGGAACCUCUCUUCCUCCGUGUGGUGGCCGUUCCUGGUUUGUCCACUUGACCACAUCUGGAAUGAACUACAAUCCGGAAAUGGAGGGGCUUACCUGUGAUCUUGUUCUUGAAGCUGGAAGACACAGGCUUCUGACCUGGAUUUUGACAUGGAGAUCUUGAGGCAUGGUGGCUAUGAAAAGCUCAGGCCCAGGCAAGGUAGUAUAGGCCUUUAAUCCCAG